This 255-nucleotide ribosomal RNA is filed under the name uncultured bacterium. RNAcentral's name for it is "partial 16S ribosomal RNA". It matches the Rfam family "Bacterial small subunit ribosomal RNA", at positions 524 to 776 of the family's 1533-position model. The record is from RNAcentral.
UACGGGGGGAGCAAGCGUUGUUCGGAUUUACUGGGCGUAAAGGGCGCGUAGGCGGCCACCGCAAGUCGACUGUGAAAUCUCCGGGCUUAACCCGGAAAGGUCAGCCGAUACUGCGGGGCUAGAGUGCAGAAGGGGCAACUGGAAUUCUCGGUGUAGCGGUAAAAUGCGUAGAUAUCGAGAGGAACACCUGCGGCGAAGGCGGGUUGCUGGGCUGACACUGACGCUGACAGCGCGAAAGCUAGGGGAGCGAACGGG